AUGAAUAUUUGCCUCCUUUCCCGCUGGCUCUGGCGCAUUUCGCAAGGGCACGGUGGCCUUUGGUUAGACAUCAUCCGGAACAAGUACCUACGUGGGCAACCCCUGGCCUUAUGUCAAAUGUCCGGCGGCUCCCAGUUUUGGCAGUCGGUCAUCCAACUACUCCCCGUCCUCCGCAUUGGGACUUCCAUCUCGGUUGGAUCGGGUGCUGCGACUUUGUUCUGGUUUGAUCGUUGGGCGGCGGGUGAAACCCCCUUCGCGGCUCGCUUCCCCGACCUCUUCUCCAUCGCCGUCGCCCCCUCGAUCUUAGUAGAGAGGGCCCUUAUUGACUUAGGGCGCCUCGCUUUCCGGAGGCCAUUUGGGCCUCCGGAAGCCACCGCUUGGCAGGAGUUGCUUGAUUGCGUCGCUCUCCACGAGCUGACUGUGGAUGCCGGCCUGGAUGAGGUUCGUUGGCGUCUUGACCCAUCGGGCCAAUUCUCCACCAAUUCCCUCUAUAAGGCCAUUGCCCCCUCCUCCGCCUCCCCCAUCUCGGCGGUGUGGUCCAUCCGCCUGCCCUUGAAAAUCCGGAUAUUCAUGUGGCAAUGGAUUCGUGGACAGAUCCCGUCUGGGGUGGAGGUGCGCAAGCGCAAUGGUCCUGGUUCCGGCCUCUGCCCGCUGUGUGAUACCCCCGAGGAUUCGAAUCACAUCUUCUUCUCCUGUAUGUCCGCUCAAUUCGUGUGGAGCUGCUUUAAAGAGGUGGUGGGAGGUGAUUGGUGCCACAUCAACUUCCCCGACCUCUUCGCCGAGCUCCAGAACUCCCCCUGCCCUCUCGUCACAUUAGGUGGCUUGAAAUUGGGGUUCUCGCGUGGACUCUCUGGAAGAUCCGCAAUAAGCUUGUGA
This 876-nucleotide ribosomal RNA is filed under the name Triticum aestivum (bread wheat). RNAcentral's name for it is "partial small subunit ribosomal RNA". The record is from RNAcentral. Lineage: Eukaryota; Viridiplantae; Streptophyta; Magnoliopsida; Poales; Poaceae.